GAUGAACGCUGGCGGCGUGCCUAAUACAUGCAAGUCGAGCGAACGGACGAGAAGCUUGCUUCUCUGAUGUUAGCGGCGGACGGGUGAGUGACACGUGCAUAACCUACCUAUAAGACUGGGAUAACUUCGGGAAACCGGAGCUAAUACCGGAUAAUAUUUUGAACCGCAUGGUUCAAAAGUGAAAGACGGUCUUGCUGUCACUUAUAGAUGGAUCCGCGCUGCAUUAGCUAGUUGGUAAGGUAACGGCUUACCAAGGCGACGAUGCAUAGCCGACCUGAGAGGGUGAUCGGCCACACUGGAACUGAGACACGGUCCAGACUCCUACGGGAGGCAGCAGUAGGGAAUCUUCCGCAAUGGGCGAAAGCCUGACGGAGCAACGCCGCGUGAGUGAUGAAGGUCUUCGGAUCGUAAAACUCUGUUAUUAGGGAAGAACAUAUGUGUAAGUAACUGUGCACAUCUUGACGGUACCUAAUCAGAAAGCCACGGCUAACUACGUG
This 497-nucleotide ribosomal RNA is filed under the name uncultured bacterium. Its description in RNAcentral is "partial 16S ribosomal RNA". It matches the Rfam family "Bacterial small subunit ribosomal RNA", at positions 28 to 507 of the family's 1533-position model. The record is from RNAcentral.